CCUACGGGAGGCAGCAGUGGGGAAUAUUGCACAAUGGGGGAAACCCUGAUGCAGCGACGCCGCGUGAGUGAAGAAGUAUCUCGGUAUGUAAAGCUCUAUCAGUAGGGAAGAAAAUGACGGUACCUGACUAAGAAGCCCCGGCUAACUACGUGCCAGCAGCCGCGGCAAUACGUAGGGGGCAAGCGUUAUCCGGAUUUACUGGGUGUAAAGGGAGCGUAGGCGGCGCUGCAAGUCCGGAGUGAAAGCCCAAGGCUUAACCAUAGUACUGCUCAGGAAACUGUGGAGCUUGAGUGCAGGAGGGGCAGGCGGAAUUCCUAGUGUAGCGGUGAAAUGCGUAGAUAUUAGGAGGAACACCGGCGGCGAAGGCGGCCUGCUGGACCGUAACUGACGUUGAGGCUCGAAAGCGUGGGGAGCAAACAGGAUUAGAUACCCGAGUAGUC
Molecule: ribosomal RNA, 440 nt
Filed under: uncultured bacterium
Lineage: Bacteria
Description: partial 16S ribosomal RNA
Rfam family: Bacterial small subunit ribosomal RNA
Source: RNAcentral